Molecule: long non-coding RNA, 523 nt
Organism: Micropterus salmoides (largemouth bass)
Lineage: Eukaryota; Metazoa; Chordata; Actinopteri; Centrarchiformes; Centrarchidae
Exons: 4
Source: RefSeq, a predicted model, not a curated record
AAACACUGAACCACAAUAACUGUCAUUAUAAUCAUAAUGGCUUUCCUGUCAGGACAAGUCUUAUCAGGCUGGUGACAAGCACAGAGCUGCCCCUGCCAGGUAAACAGUGCUGCCUACGAAGAGAAGCAGUGAGGGAAAGCUACCUGGCACUACACAAUCUACAGUUUCUAGACAAGUUGCAGAAGAACCCAGAUGGAGUGCUGCACUGGGCUGAUGUAGUGUCAUAAACUGGCAGUUCAGGGGCUCUUCAGGAUAUUCACAGACAAGAAGGGGGUGCAGAGUUAGAAGAGGAGGAGGAGGAGGAGCACAAGAAGAUGCUGGCGGAGGAGAAGAAGGAGGAUGAGGAAGAGGAGCAUAGCAAAGAAGAAGGAAGUGAGCGACAGUGGGGUCCAAGCCACGGGAAAAGAGAUUACAUCACGAAAGCAAUGAUGGUGCAGCAAGACCCAUGAAUACAUUACACCAUCAUAUAUACGCAGAGCAUGGGCGGAAGGUAGCAAGAAAUAAUAAAUCAAAAUGAAUGCUA